Molecule: transfer RNA, 76 nt
Filed under: Rickettsia sp.
Lineage: Bacteria; Pseudomonadati; Pseudomonadota; Alphaproteobacteria; Rickettsiales; Rickettsiaceae
Also listed under: 2 other names
Description: tRNA-Phe
Rfam family: tRNA
About the family: Transfer RNA (tRNA) molecules are approximately 80 nucleotides in length. Their secondary structure includes four short double-helical elements and three loops (D, anti-codon, and T loops). Further hydrogen bonds mediate the characteristic L-shaped molecular structure. tRNAs have two regions of fundamental functional importance: the anti-codon, which is responsible for specific mRNA codon recognition, and the 3' end, to which the tRNAs corresponding amino acid is attached (by aminoacyl-tRNA synthetases). tRNAs cope with the degeneracy of the genetic code in two manners: having more than one tRNA (with a specific anti-codon) for a particular amino acid; and 'wobble' base-pairing, i.e. permitting non-standard base-pairing at the 3rd anti-codon position.
Source: RNAcentral
GGCCAGAUAGCUCAGUUGGUAGAGCAAAGGAUUGAAGAUCCUUGUGUCGCUGGUUCGAUUCCAGCUCUGGCCACCA